RNAcentral lists this antisense RNA (75 nucleotides) under Nocardia donostiensis. RNAcentral describes it as "ASpks TB sRNA". It matches the Rfam family "ASpks TB sRNA". The record is from Rfam by way of RNAcentral. Lineage: Bacteria; Bacillati; Actinomycetota; Actinomycetes; Mycobacteriales; Nocardiaceae.
UUUGAUCGAACCCAGCCACAGCGGUCGGUCCGCGGAAUGCUCCCGGCCGUAGGUGGCGAUCAGCGCGUGCGCUUC